UACGAAGGGUGCAAGCGUUACUCGGCAUUACUGGGCGUAAAGCGUGCGUAGGUGGUUUGUUAAGUCUGUUGUGAAAGCCCCGGGCUCAACCUGGGAAUGGCAAUGGAUACUGGCAAGCUAGAGUGCGGUAGAGGGUAGUGGAAUUCCCGGUGUAGCGGUGAAAUGCGUAGAGAUCGGGAGGAACACCAGUGGCGAAGGCGGCUACCUGGACCAGCACUGACACUGAGGCACGAAAGCGUGGGGAGCAAACAGG
This 253-nucleotide ribosomal RNA is filed under the name uncultured bacterium. RNAcentral's name for it is "partial 16S ribosomal RNA". It matches the Rfam family "Bacterial small subunit ribosomal RNA", at positions 524 to 776 of the family's 1533-position model. The record is from RNAcentral.